AGCUCCAAUAGCGUAUAUUAAAGUUGUUGCAGUUAAAAAGCUCGUAGUUGGAUUUUGGAUUGAGUUGAACGGUCUGCCUAAUUGGUAUGAACUGUUUGGUUCUUUCUUCUUCUCGAAGACUGUGUGUGCUCUUAACUGAGUGUGCAUGGGGUUCGGGACUUUUACUGUGAGAAAAUUAGAGUGUUCAAAGCAGGCAUUUGCUUGAAUAUUGCAGCAUGGAAUAAUGGAAUAGGAUCACGAUCUUAUUUUGUUGGUUUCUAGGAUCGAGAUAAUGAUUAAUAGGGAUAGUUGGGGGCAUUAAUAUUUAAUUGUCAGAGGUGAAAUUCUUGGAUUUAUGAAAGAUUAACUUCUGCGAAAGCAUUUGCCAAGGAUGUUUUCGUUAAUCAAGAACGAAAGUACG
Molecule: ribosomal RNA, 400 nt
Filed under: phytoplankton environmental sample
Lineage: Eukaryota
Description: partial small subunit ribosomal RNA
Rfam family: Eukaryotic small subunit ribosomal RNA
Source: RNAcentral